AGAGGCCAGUGCCUUGUCCAAGGUCACACAGCUAGUGAGGUAGGUCCUGGGAUUUCAUACAUUUCUCCCUGACCCAGUGCCUAGCCCAAGGUCACACAGCCGAGGAGGUAGGUCCUGAGAUUUCAUGCAAUUCUCCCUGACCACAGAACCCCAGGGAAAGACCUGAGUGAGUGGUUGCAGCUCUGUGCUGGCAGCUGAGUGCCCUGGGUGAGUCUGCUUCCUUCUGUCUCUAGUUCCUUAUAGAAUCUGUGAAAUGGUGAUUUCGGGAUCCCUCAGGUUCCUCUCAGCUUCUGUUCCUUUAGAACCUUGUAGCCACAGUGGGGACUUGGGCUUGGAUAUCAUCCCCUAUGAGCUUCAAGGUGGGCAGGAAGGGACAAUACAAAAUUUGAGAACUCGUUUUCAAGUGAACACAGUGGCCUAGGGGCCUAGAGACGGCCAUACUUCUUCCUCAGUGGAGGAGCAGAGUUGGGGUUUGAAGAGAUUUAUUCUGAGCCAAAUAUGAAUGACCGUGGCCCAUGACACAGCCCUCAGGAGGUCCUGAGAAAAUGUGCCCAAGGUGGUUAGGGCACAGCAUGAUUUUACAUAUUUACGGGAGACAUGAGACAUCAAUCAAAUACGUUUAAGAGGUACCUUGGUUUGGUUCAGAAAGGCAGGACAACUCAAAGUGGGGGCUUCCAGGCUACAGGUAAAUUUAAACAUUUUCUGGUUGACAAUUUGUUGAGUUUGUCUAAAGACGUGGGAUCAAUAGAAAGGAAUGUCUGGGUUAAGAUAAAGGAUUGUGGAGACCCAAGUUCCUAUUUGCAGAGGAAACCUUCAGGUGGUAGGCUUCGGAGAGAAUAGGUUGUAAACUGUUUCCUAUCAGACUUAAAGUCUGUGUCCAUGUUAAUGCUGGAGAGGUAUAAUGAGACAUGUCCAACCCCCUAAAACAGUCAUAGCCUAAAACAGUCUCUUAGGUUAAAUUUUAAAAGAACCCUGGCUGACGAGAAGUCCAUUCAGAUGGUUGGGAGGCCUUAGAAUUUUAUUUUUGGUUUACAAGGUACUUGUGCACCCCAGUAUAUUCAAUCUUGUGUUGGCUAAGAGUGGACUCCCAGCUAUCUUUCUUCCUGCCUCCAAGUCUUCGUCUCACUAUUUGUCUUUUUUCUUUUGGAAUUCAGUGCCUCAUUUUUGUUCUCCAACCCCAUCUCACCUGCUUUCACUUUUUCUUCCCCUGUGACCAUAAUAUAGCACUAAAGUUUAUCUUUUUUAUUUCUUACAUUGAAUAGUUUACAUAUUUUUCUCUAUAAGCUAAAUUAGUCACUUUUUACCUGGAUGAUUCUAGCUUUUAUUUGUUUGCUUGCUUAUUCAUUCAUUUUCCUCCUGAAGGUCAGAGGCGUUCUUGGCCAGAAGAAUUUUCCACGCUCCAUUUCCGCCCCUUUUGGGGCCUGAGCACUCCAGAGAGCUUGGGAACGGCCCAGGCUGAGUUGCAGAUGGUGUGUGCGCUUUGCCUUAGGGCUCACCUUGUGGUGUGUCCUUCCAGGGGGAGCUCAUCGACACUUUGGUGGGGGCACACUCCCACCACUGGAAGAGCCCUGGGGGACUUGGGCCUCUCCUGGGCCUGUCUGUUGUCCAGAUCACUCCAGCUGGUCAUCUCAGCUUUAUAAACAGCAACCAAUUAAGAGCAGCCCACCUGAGUAGUAGUCUACUGUAGAUACCCUUAUGCAAUUUCGCUUUUUCUCACUUCAUAGUAUAUUCUGGAAAUCUGUUGCUUCUGUUCAUGGGGUCUGCCAUUCUUCUGCAGUGCGUCACCGGAGUCCACAGUGUGGCUUUUCAACUGCUCUGUGCUGUAUGGGCUUUCAGUUUGCUCCAAUAUUUUGCAAUCACAAUGUUUCAAUGAAUACCCUUGAGCAUUUGUAUUUUUCUAUUGCUGAAUGUUAUAGGUAGAUAGCCAUGAGUGGGGCAGGAGAGGGUUCUCCCUCACCCACUAGAAACGUCAGGUGCUGGUUCAACAAUUAUCAAACUGCCUGUCUAAAAAUGAUAAUUCCGGAGCCAUGGAGAGGAAAAUCUCCUGAUGAUCCACAGCUGUUAAACAUUGAAGUGUUCAUUGAAUGAAGACCCCAGGGAAGAGAAACUUCCUGGACAUGCACAUUAAGAAGACAAAAAUGUCAAGCAUGACAUUACUGGUACACGCCACUGGAAAAAGAAAGCAAGCCUGAGAUGGGCAUGCGUAUUACUCCCUAAACACACUGCGCAUGCUCAGUUUCAAAGGGCAAGGAGACCACUGGGCAUGCGGAAAGCCCGCCCUAGGGGAAGAAUCAUGGGAAAGAGGCGAGUCUAUAGAGUUCUAGGAUUAAGGUUAAAGGCCUCCUUUUUUCUCUCUUGGACCUUCAGGCGCCCCCUUGGGUCUCUUCCAAGCAAAUUUUCGUUUCUUUCCUUUUCCAAAGCCUUUUAAAAUAAACUUCCACUCCUGCUCUGAAACUUGCCUCAGUCUCUUUUCCUGCUUUAUGCACCUCAGUCGAAUUCUUUCUCCUGAGGAAGCAAGAGCUGAAGUUCCCGUGGGCUCCUGUGGAUGCCGCGGAAAACUCUGGGUAUCUCAGAUCUCUGCUGCCACUAACACUGAAGAGACCAUCAAGCUUCAGAUGAUCGUGCAACAAAGGUUCCAGCCAGUUCUAGGUGAAGACACCACUGCUGGCCAUGAAAGAGCUACCCUGCCUCCACUAGACAGAGCAGGGGACAGAAGAUGCUCCAGAAUUUGAGGAGAUAAGGAGUGUGGCCGAUUCUACAUGACCUGUUCAUCUUCUCAGUAGUUCUAGCUGAAAUAAAAACUUUGUUGACUAUGG
Pan troglodytes (chimpanzee) is the source of this 2816-nucleotide long non-coding RNA. RefSeq lists it as uncharacterized. NCBI's taxonomy places the organism in Eukaryota, Metazoa, Chordata, Mammalia, Primates, Hominidae. The transcript is spliced from 3 exons. The record is from RefSeq and is a predicted model, not a curated record.